GUCGUCUUUGUUCAAGAACAACCUUGAUAUCAUCUAGUCAAUAGCGGACUUUGAACCUCUAGAAUAAAAGAAGAUUUUUCAGCAAUUUUCCAAACAUUCUCCCACCACCUCCGCGGAUGAUUACCAUUAUAAUUGGGAGAAGAAGAAUCAUGUACGGAAUUAUGAUGGGUUAGUUGGGCGUAAGAGGGAUGUGUAUGUGAAUUGUUACUCAUGGUUUGUUUGAUCUAUAAACUAAAUAAGAGCGCUAACAAAGCAGGGGACGAUGUUAUUUGAGUUAAUUCUUGA
Molecule: long non-coding RNA, 285 nt
Filed under: Nicotiana benthamiana
Lineage: Eukaryota; Viridiplantae; Streptophyta; Magnoliopsida; Solanales; Solanaceae
Description: long non-coding RNA (NBEN_LNC016909)
Source: RNAcentral